GAGCCACACCUUGGUGGUAGAGCAUUUGCCCUGCAUGCAGAAGGUCCCAGGUUCAAUCCCUGGCAUCUCCA
Podarcis lilfordi (Lilford's wall lizard) is the source of this 71-nucleotide non-coding RNA. Lineage: Eukaryota; Metazoa; Chordata; Lepidosauria; Squamata; Lacertidae. The record is from the annotation of a GenBank genome assembly.